RNAcentral lists this ribosomal RNA (245 nucleotides) under uncultured bacterium. RNAcentral's name for it is "partial 16S ribosomal RNA". It matches the Rfam family "Bacterial small subunit ribosomal RNA", at positions 524 to 768 of the family's 1533-position model. The record is from RNAcentral.
UACGUAGGGGGCGAGCGUUGUCCGAAUUUACUGGGCGUAAAGCGCGCGUAGGCGGACUAUUAAGUUGGUGGUGAAAUCCCAGGGCUCAACCCUGGAACUGCCUCCAAAACUGAUAGUCUUGAGGUACGGAGAGGAAACUGGAAUUCCUGGUGUAGCGGUGAAAUGCGUAGAUAUCAGGAGGAACACCAAUGGCGAAGGCAGGUUUCUGGUCGUAUCCUGACGCUGAGGUGCGAAAGCCAGGGGAG